UAGAGACAUUUGCUUCUUUAAAAACGUGCUC
This 31-nucleotide non-coding RNA is filed under the name Rattus norvegicus (Norway rat). Lineage: Eukaryota; Metazoa; Chordata; Mammalia; Rodentia; Muridae. The record is from RNAcentral.